Molecule: ribosomal RNA, 309 nt
Filed under: Triticum aestivum (bread wheat)
Lineage: Eukaryota; Viridiplantae; Streptophyta; Magnoliopsida; Poales; Poaceae
Description: partial small subunit ribosomal RNA
Source: RNAcentral
AUGAGAGAAAAGGAGAGAAGGGACAAUGCUACUAUCCUUUUUACCACACUUGUGCUUCAAAGUAGCACCAUGACCUUCAUGAUUGAGAGUCUCCUAUGUUGUCACUUUCAUAUACUACUGGGAAUUUUUCAUUAUAGAACUUGGCUUGUAUAUUCCAAUGAUGGGCUUCCUCAAAACGCCCUAGGUCUUCGUGAGAAAGCAAGUUGGAUGCACACCCACUUAGUUUCUUUUGUUGAGCUUUCAUACAUUUAUAGCUUUAGUGCAUCCGUUGCUUGGCAAUCCCUACUCACUCACAGUGAUAUCUAUUAA